RNAcentral lists this transfer RNA (72 nucleotides) under Sphaerodactylus townsendi. RNAcentral's name for it is "tRNA-Ser". Lineage: Eukaryota; Metazoa; Chordata; Lepidosauria; Squamata; Sphaerodactylidae. The record is from RNAcentral.
GGGGCUGUGAUUUGGUGGCAGAGUAUCUCCUUGGAAUGCAGAAGGUCCCAAGUUCAAUUCCUGGCAUCUCAA